UACGUAGGGGCUAGCGUUAUCCGGAAUUACUGGGCGUAAAGGGUGCGUAGGUGGUUUCUUAAGUCAGAGGUGAAAGGCUACGGCUCAACCGUAGUAAGCCUUUGAAACUGGGAAACUUGAGUGCAGGAGAGGAGAGUGGAAUUCCUAGUGUAGCGGUGAAAUGCGUAGAUAUUAGGAGGAACACCAGUUGCGAAGGCGGCUCUCUGGACUGUAACUGACGCUGAGGCACGAAAGCGUGGGGAGCAAACAGGAUUAGAUACCCCGGUAGUCCCUGAGCGGG
Molecule: ribosomal RNA, 280 nt
Filed under: uncultured prokaryote
Description: partial 16S ribosomal RNA
Rfam family: Bacterial small subunit ribosomal RNA
Source: RNAcentral